Molecule: long non-coding RNA, 953 nt
Organism: Amphibalanus amphitrite
Lineage: Eukaryota; Metazoa; Arthropoda; Thecostraca; Balanomorpha; Balanidae
Exons: 3
Source: RefSeq, a predicted model, not a curated record
CCUCACCAGGUGCCCUCGGCUGAAGCGUCUCACCCUAUCCGGCGGCGUCCCUGACACCGGGAGCCUGGAGCCCCUCACCAGGUGCCCUGAGCUGCGGUGGCUCACCCUGUCCGGCGGCGUCCCUGACGCCGUGCUGGACAGUCUCAGCAGCUGCCCCGGGCUGGAGUACCUUACACUGGGGGACCGCCAGCGGCCGGCAGAGACGGCCUUCACAGCAGCAGCGGUCACCAGACUGGUGAAGUCGUGUCGGAAGCUGUGGGUUCUGUACCUUCACUGCACGGCAGACACCACCCGGGCCGUGCUGACCGCCCUGAAGGAGACGGACCUGGGCCGGGACAGUUUUGGCCGGUCCCGUAUCAUCUGUCUCAAUGUCCCCGAGGAGCUGUACCGUCAGCUGAAGAGACAGGAAGGCGGUGGGGUCAAAGUGUGGGAGUGGGAGGAUUGAUGCGCUGCACUACCGACCGUGCAGUGAUGAGCUGACUGCAGAGAGGCCGAGCCAGUCGGCCGGGGCCGCCAGCUGACUGCUGCCGUGUGUGCUGCACCAGCCGGCACUGAGAGCGGCGCCGGUCAUGCAGCCGGCACACGGCCCCGGUGUCCGCUCUAGUGUAGUGAUCUAGUUGUAGUAGUAGUAGUGUAGAUGUAGUAGCAUCACACGGAUGUGAUGCAGUGGGUUAUUACCGGGUGGGUAUUGUUGGUAAUUGGACCAGAGAUGUGAUGUAGUGGGUAAGUACCGGGUGGGUAUUGUGGGUAAUUGGACAGUGAAAAGUGAUGUAGUGGGUAAUUACCGGGUGGGUACUGUGGGUGAUUGGACAGUAAAAAGUGAUGUGCUGGAGAGACUACCGAUUGUGGCAUUACGCUAUUCUGUAUGUAGAACACACGUCUCUGACCGUCCGACUCGGUUCACCGCGCCUGGUCCCGGCGGCACGGCCGGCCUCGGUCACGUGACCGUCCCC